UGUAACAACUCACCUGCCGAAGCAACUAGCCCUGAAAAUGGAUGGCGCUCUAGCGUCGUGCCUAUACCGGGCCGUCAACGGCAAAGUGGGCGUCCGGCAUUCGUGUCGGAGCCGUUAAGCCUUGACGAGUAGGAGGGUCGCGGCGGUGUGCGCAGAAGGGUCGGGGCGUGAGCCCGCCUGGAGCCGCCGUCGGCGCAGAUCUUGGUGGUAGUAGCAAAUACUCUAGCGAGGGCCUGGAGGACUGACGUGGAGAAGGGUUUCUUGUGAACAGCCGUUGCACAAGAGUCAGUCGACCCUAAGCCCUAGGAGAAAUCCGAUGUUGAUGGGUAGCUUAACAGUACAACAGCUCCUGUCGGGCAAAAGGGAAUCCGGUUCCUAUUCCGGAACCCGGCUGCGUAACCGCCAUUCAGCGGGCACUCGCCUGCGAGCGCUCGUCGGGGUAACCCAAACUGGCCCGGAGACGCUGGCGGGAGGUCUGGAAAGAGUUUUCUUUUCUUUAUAAGCGUUCGAGUACCCUGGAAUCCUAUAGCAGGGAGAUAGGGUUUGGAACGCGAAGAGCACCGCAGUUGCGGCGGUGUCCGGACCUUCCCCUCGGACCUUGAAAAUCCGGGUGAGGGCUACGCGGAAGUCGCGCCGGAUCGUACCCAUAUCCGCAGCAGGUCUCCAAGGUUAAGAGCCUCUAGUCGAUAGAAUAAUGUAGGUAAGGGAAGUCGGCAAACUA
RNAcentral lists this ribosomal RNA (721 nucleotides) under Meenocixius virescens. RNAcentral's name for it is "eukaryotic LSU rRNA". It matches the Rfam family "Eukaryotic large subunit ribosomal RNA", at positions 1281 to 1924 of the family's 3401-position model. Lineage: Eukaryota; Metazoa; Arthropoda; Insecta; Hemiptera; Cixiidae. The record is from RNAcentral.